Molecule: ribosomal RNA, 426 nt
Filed under: uncultured Lysobacteraceae bacterium
Lineage: Bacteria; Pseudomonadati; Pseudomonadota; Gammaproteobacteria; Lysobacterales; Lysobacteraceae
Description: bacterial SSU rRNA
Rfam family: Bacterial small subunit ribosomal RNA
Source: RNAcentral
GGGGAAUAUUGGACAAUGGGCGCAAGCCUGAUCCAGCCAUGCCGCGUGGGUGAAGAAGGCCUUCGGGUUGUAAAGCCCUUUUGUUGGGAAAGAAAAGCAGCCGGCCAAUACCCGGUUGUUCUGACGGUACCCAAAGAAUAAGCACCGGCUAACUUCGUGCCAGCAGCCGCGGUAAUACGAAGGGUGCAAGCGUUACUCGGAAUUACUGGGCGUAAAGCGUGCGUAGGUGGUGGUUUAAGUCCGUUGUGAAAGCCCUGGGCUCAACCUGGGAACUGCAGUGGAUACUGGAUCACUAGAGUGUGGCAGAGGGUAGUGGAAUUCCCGGUGUAGCAGUGAAAUGCGUAGAGAUGUGGAGGAAUACCGAUGGCGAAGGCAGCCCCCUGGGUUAGUACUGACGCUCAUGCACGAAAGCGUGGGGAGCAAACA